AGUUUUAAACUGAUGGUCUACUAUCUGGAAAACCCCAAAUCUGGAAUCACGGAAGUCCCGACGAGUUCGGAUCUCGCACUUUGUACUGUUAAACCAAUGGAUAGAGCAUAUUUUACCAUUUAUUACCUUAAAGCUUCCAACUCCAGAAGACCGCCCACCUCCAUACUUUGAAUACGAUAAUUGUUCAUAUUCUUUGUGGCAAGAACCUAGUACCGUUAAGAAUUCUCAAGUUACACAGCAAAAUUCGUUUCCUUAUUCACAGUCUUUUACAUCACUUCAUCGCUCUGGUUUCUACUCUGUGCAAACUCCUGCUAAGAAAUCUGUAUCUGCUGAUUUAGUUCCUGUUAUCUCUGAGCCCAAAGCUUCAGAAGAUGGUAAAGUCACUCCUGAAGAAUCAACAGAGCAUAAGCACUGUUGUUAUUGGUGUUCUCUUAGUUGUGCAUGGUUUUGUAAAGUUCUUGGUACAUGUAUGCAUCAGUGUUGCAGUAAUUUUACUUUAACAAUUUAGUGCUUUUCAGGGUGAGAUAUUUUAGAAGCACUGUUUUAACUGUUAAAAUUAAUUUUGUAUAGAAAGUGUUAUGUAUUUUGAUUGCUUAUACUCAUUUGCACAAUUUAUGUAAAUACUACUGAAUUUUGUUGUUUCCUAUGUAUGUUCCUUCCGGUGUAUAAAGUAUUUUGUACUGGGUUUGAAUUGUGUUUUUCUUUUGUUAUACAAAUGUGUGCAAUUUUUGUUUUUGUGUUCAUUUUAUUUUUUUAAUGUAAUUUUGAAUUAAUAUGAGUUCAUGCAUGUGUAUUAUAGAUGUAUAUAUAAACUAGAUUUUUAGCUACUUUACAUUUAAGUAAGCAAGUGUCGGAAACACUAAGUAAUAAAAAAAAUUCAAACAUUUUGAUGUCCAGUCAUAUUUGCAGUGAUGUAAAUUUAAUUUUAUAAAACACUUCAGAAAUUCUAUGUAAAUUAAAAGUUUUUAAAGUUUAAAGCAAUAUGAUUAUAUAAUAGAUUGUGUGGCUUCCUCGAUCUAUAUGUUAUUCAUGACUCUCAGUUUUUGUAAAGAAUGCUGAAUGCAAUAAUAAAAUCUUCUGGCAGAUCAUGCUAAGACAAAAGAGGAGAACCAAUUAUAUUUUAAAGGAUUGCACUCUUGUAUCACUAAUUGAAUGCUGAAGAAGACAAAACUGAAAUUUAAACAUUAAAGUUUAAAAAGCAAAAAUAAAAAUGUAUUUAAAACUGACAAAGUAUUUCCAUUUUGAAGUGCCUUUCGUUACUGCUGUGUUAAUAAAAAUGAGAACUGAGUAUGUGUUUUAAAAUGCUGCUGUCAGAUGUGAUAUUUCCGGAAAGCAUUUUUGUAUUGUGGUUAUUAUCUUGUGCUUUUUUAAAAGAUGGAAGUUUAUUAUUGGUUAUCCUUGUAAUUGUUUUUUAGUAUGUUUUAAAAACAGGAAUAGGUUUUUAAUAAAUAUUUUUUAAACUUUUUUGGUACUAAUUUGGUAAUGCUUUUAAGAAAUUAACUGUAAUAUAGUUUUAAUAAUUUAAGAAUGUACAUAUCAAAUAAUUUCUUUUAUAAUCUAAAAGAAUUAGAGAUAUUUACUGUAGGUAAGACUAAAUGCAUUAAUUGUUAGAACAGUGUGAAAUUUUCUAAAUUGUUAUGGAAUUUAAUACAUUUAUACCUGUAAUAUAUUUCUUUACAAGAUAAUAUUGCAUAUUUUUUAUUUUAUUGAUUUAGAUAGAAUCUUUAGCAUAUUAAGUAGUGUCCUAAUAGCUAUGUUACCGUGAUAACUUUUAAAGUAUCUGCUUCAUGGCAAUAAAUUUACAUGCAUACCAUAUGAGGUUGCAUACAGGCUGUAGGAAAAGUGCUUAAUACAUAUAAUUGCAUGAGCUACUGUGCACACAAAAAAGGGGGAUGGAACAAAUAUUUAACAUUUAUAUGUAUACAUGUGCCAGAAAACAGUAUGUUCCUCAAACUGAAAAGCAAUAAAUUCACCAAGCUUCCUUAUGCACUUGCUACUUCACAGUUUUUGUAGCAUAUAUGUUGGCCACUGGUUGGAGCAUUAACCUCGUGUAGGUAUAGUAAAUUUCUUUUGACAUGUGGUCUAUACUUCCUGGGAAAAGGCUCUCAGUUGUUCUUGUAAUUUUCACCUUUGCAUAUCAUUUUUGAGGACCUUCCUACAAUUCUGGCAGUAAAUUGGGUCAAAAUACAGUCUAAAUCUCGGUAAGUUCGGUCCAGCAGUAAUUGGGUCUGGCAGUAAAUUGGAUCAAAAUGCAAACUUAGUUUGCCAUGUAUUGAUAGAGCAGGCAGAAUGUUGCUUAGUAAGGUUUUAAUGGAAAAGUAAAUCUCCCUAUGGAUGAAAGCCUCUAGAUGUGACUAGGCUUUUGCUUAUGAUUGUAUCAAAAAUUAUUCACAUCAUGUAAUCUGUCACUAGUCAUUCACCUGAGGUACAAGUUGCUGUAUGUGUUUGCUCCACAUUCUUGCAGUUUUUGUGAAAGUUGGUGCUAAGUCUAAAACUUAUCACAAGACGAAUUCAAGAUAAAAUAUACUGGAGAAACCAGCUUUCAUGUUGUGUCUGAGGAAAUUUCUGACAGAAACUAAUCAAUAUUAUAUCCUGAAGCAUUUUUCUAUCUUGUUUGCAUAUUAACAAAAAUUUGAAUAUAAAUGUGAACAAAAGUUCUUUUGUUGGUAAAUAAGCUUAUGUUUGUGCAUGAGAGUUUGUAGAGGAAUAAUUCAGGCAUGCUUUAAGAUAUCUGGUAUAGUAUUUAAAUUGAUUUUCAUUCUAAAUCAUAAACCAAGCAAAACACUAUUCAUUAUACAGCUUUUCUAUAAAUAUAUAUAAAUUCACAUUUGCUGAUCAUUUAUAAUAACCGCAUAUAAAAUGAAAGUAAAUUUAUUGUCAUAGGCAAGAUAUGUGAAAAAGUCUUCCUUAAAAGAAUUUAAUGCUUUUUUAGUUAUUUUCUAAAAUAUGUAUUUGAAAAUCCAAAGAUUUGUAAUUUGAAACUCAGUUAAUCAUUUAAGUAUUUUAUUUUUAUCUAUACUAGUCAAGAUUAUUUUACAUAGUAUAUUCUAGUCUCAGUUUAUUGCACUAGUUAGUGGUUAUGUUCUGCAUUAUAUUAGCUUUAAAAAUGGCUUGUUUGAAAAGUGUAGUUUAUAGAAAUGAGAUAUAUAGAAAUAUGUUAGAAUCAUAUCAGAUUAUUUUGUACUGUGUACUACAGUAUCUUUUUACUUUUUAAUUUAAAAAGCAAAGUAUGAAUGAUUGAUCUCUCUCUUGUUCAUUCCUUUUUUGCAUAUAUAUUAUGAACAUUUUCCCCAUUAUGUUCUUUUUCUCUAAAACCAAAGUGACUUACUUCUGAAAAUGUCAUUUACAAAGUGUUGUAAUGAGCCUUUAUACUUUCUGUAUGAAUUCUAUGUUGGUUGAAUUUACAGAUUAACUCUCUGCUUUACAUUGACUGACUUGAAAUGUAAUUUUUCUUUCAUAGAUGAAUCCUAAGUUUUAUAUGUUAAAGUAAAUAUUUUUACGUAUGUAAAUUAUUUUUCAAAUAUAGUCUCCUGAAAUGUUAAAAUAUAGUCAUUUUAAUUUAUAAUUAAUUUUAUAUUAUCACAUGUGAUUGUAUUAGUUGAAGUGCUGAGUUAUAUAUUAUUAUUAAGAUAACAAAUUUGUAAUUUUCUUACCUUGAAACAAAGAUUUUUGUCAUUUAUUCUUGAAAAAUAAAGUACAUUGAAACUUAA
Molecule: long non-coding RNA, 3710 nt
Filed under: Stegodyphus dumicola
Lineage: Eukaryota; Metazoa; Arthropoda; Arachnida; Araneae; Eresidae
Description: uncharacterized LOC118194379
Source: RNAcentral